Molecule: ribosomal RNA, 253 nt
Filed under: uncultured bacterium
Lineage: Bacteria
Description: partial 16S ribosomal RNA
Rfam family: Bacterial small subunit ribosomal RNA
Source: RNAcentral
UACGAAGGGGGCUAGCGUUGUUCGGAAUUACUGGGCGUAAAGCGCGCGUAGGCGGUGAUCUUUGUCAGAGGUGAAAGCCCGGGGCUCAACUCCGGAAUUGCCUUUGAAACGGGAUCGCUUGAGUCCGAGAGAGGAUGGCGGAAUUCCUAGUGUAGAGGUGAAAUUCGUAGAUACUAGGAAGAACACCGUGGCGAAGGCGGCCAUCUGGCUCGGUACUGACGCUCAGGCGCGAAAGCGUGGGGGAGCAAACAGG